CAGUCGAACGAAGCACAGAGAGCAGAUUACUUCGGUUUGAAGCUUUCUGUGACUGAGUGGCGGACGGGUGAGUAAUGCGUGGAUAACCUGCCUCACACAGGGGGAUAACAGUUAGAAAUGACUGCUAAUACCGCAUAAGCGCACAGUCUCGCAUGGGACAGUGUGAAAAACUGAGGUGGUGUGAGAUGGAUCCGCGUCUGAUUAGGCAGUUGGCGGGGUAACGGCCCACCAAGCCAACGAUCAGUAGCCGGCCUGAGAGGGUGAACGGCCACAUUGGGACUGAGACACGGCCCAAACUCCUACGGGAGGCAGCAGUGGGGAAUAUUGCACAAUGGGGGAAACCCUGAUGCAGCGACGCCGCGUGAAGGAAGAAGUAUUUCGGUAUGUAAACUUCUAUCAGCAGGGAAGAAAGUGACGGUACCUGACUAAGAAGCCCCGGCUAACUACGUGCCAGCAGCCGCGGUAAUACGUAGGGGGCAAGCGUUAUCCGGAUUUACUGGGUGUAAAGGGAGCGUAGGCGGCGAUGCAAGUCAGAAGUGAAAGCCCGGGGCUCAACUCCGGGACUGCUUUUGAAACUGUAUGGCUAGAUUGCAGGAGAGGCAAGUGGAAUUCCUAGUGUAGCGGUGAAAUGCGUAGAUAUUAGGAGGAACACCAGUGGCGAAGGCGGCUUGCUGGACUGUAAAUGACGCUGAGGCUCGAAAGCGUGGGGAGCAAACA
Molecule: ribosomal RNA, 717 nt
Filed under: uncultured bacterium
Lineage: Bacteria
Description: bacterial SSU rRNA
Rfam family: Bacterial small subunit ribosomal RNA
Source: RNAcentral